This 279-nucleotide unclassified non-coding RNA is filed under the name plant metagenome. RNAcentral's name for it is "partial contains small subunit ribosomal RNA, internal transcribed spacer 1, and 5.8S ribosomal RNA". The record is from RNAcentral.
UUUCCGUAGGUGAACCUGCGGAAGGAUCAUUAUCGUAAAAAAUGUGAGGGGACUGCUAGGAUUGUCGCUGACCCUUAAGUCGUGGACGCCCGAGUGUGUCCUUUUACAUAAUAAUCCCUCCCACCCUUUUUGCAUCACUGCGUGGCUACCCUUCGGGAUGAUUAAGCAGGUCAGCUUACGUUUUUCCACAAACAACCCCUUUACUCGCGUAGAGAUACAACAUUUAUGCAAUCAAUACAACUUUCAACAACGGAUCUCUUAGCUAUUGCCUUGAUGAAA